AGAGUUUGAUCCUGGCUCAGGACGAACGCUGGCGGCGUGCCUAAUACAUGCAAGUCGAGCGGGGUUAAUGAAAAAGCUUGCUUUUUCAUUAACCUAGCGGCGGACGGGUGAGUAACACGUGGGAAACCUGCCCUUUUGACUGGGAUAACAUCGGGAAACCGAUGCUAAUACCGGAUAGGAAUUUAGGAGGCAUCUCCUAG
RNAcentral lists this ribosomal RNA (200 nucleotides) under uncultured bacterium. RNAcentral describes it as "partial 16S ribosomal RNA". It matches the Rfam family "Bacterial small subunit ribosomal RNA", at positions 8 to 198 of the family's 1533-position model. The record is from RNAcentral.